UACGAGGGGUGCGAGCGUUGUUCGGAAUUAUUGGGCGUAAAGGGUGCGUAGGCGGUUUUGUAAGUCUGAUGUGAAAUCUAUGGGCUCAACUCAUAGUCUGCAUCGGAAACUGCAGGGCUUGAGUAUGGGAGAGGUGAGUGGAAUUCCUGGUGUAGCGGUGAAAUGCGUAGAUAUCAGGAGGAACACCUGUGGCGAAAGCGGCUCACUGGACCAUAACUGACGCUGAUGCACGAAAGCUAGGGGAGCAAACAGG
This 253-nucleotide ribosomal RNA is filed under the name uncultured bacterium. RNAcentral's name for it is "partial 16S ribosomal RNA". It matches the Rfam family "Bacterial small subunit ribosomal RNA", at positions 524 to 776 of the family's 1533-position model. The record is from RNAcentral.